UGUGCUCUGUAGAGAAUCAUGAAUUCAAAAAAUAUGCAAGUAUUUUUUACUUUUUACAUUGCUGCAUCAAAGCAUCUUCCAUGUCCAUCUCGAGGUUGGGCAGCUCGGACAGAUCAAGUUAUGGGUACAAAAUUCAAAGUGCAUUCCGACAAAAGCUGUAGUCGAAAUAAUAUUCGACAGUAAAUGUCGUGUGGAUCAUCGAUUAAGAACUGUCCAUCAGCUGCUUGUGAGUUCGAGAAGAAGUUCCUUCUCCUCUUGCC
RNAcentral lists this long non-coding RNA (260 nucleotides) under Elaeis guineensis (African oil palm). RNAcentral describes it as "long non-coding RNA (EGUI_LNC022213)". The record is from RNAcentral. Lineage: Eukaryota; Viridiplantae; Streptophyta; Magnoliopsida; Arecales; Arecaceae.